This 660-nucleotide ribosomal RNA is filed under the name Triticum aestivum (bread wheat). RNAcentral's name for it is "partial small subunit ribosomal RNA". Lineage: Eukaryota; Viridiplantae; Streptophyta; Magnoliopsida; Poales; Poaceae. The record is from RNAcentral.
AUGAAUGCUUUGCAUAUCAUUCUAUAUCAUCUUGAUAAGCUUCAUGCGCUUUGUCACGAACAAUCUUGCCGCACGGACUCAUACUUACUUCAUGGACACUUUGUGUGCGCUAACCAUUGUAUUUCCAAGUGUCCUUUGUGUUUGCUCAUUUUGCAUGUACCACAUACCGGAGACACCUUGGAGUACUUGGAUUGCGCAAUGUCUUCAUCUACGUCCAACUACAAGUCCGUCCACGACAAUCGUUUCCAUGGUGAUGAGGAUCAUGAUCAGAUGUCGGAUCUUUCCCAAGGGGGGGGGGGAGAUGAUGCGGAGCAUCCCACGAUCAUCCCCAUGUACACUUCGACUACUCCCCAAGCCCCAAGAGGACAUACGAUGAGACCUCGACCAUACGCCAUUGGACACAAGGUGAACUCACUCCUCUUCGAACCGUCACUUUCCACAUAUGAGACAUGGCUACUACCUCAAGCAUGGACCUUGCAUAUACCCAGGUACAUCCGAGAUGACCAUGGAGAAUCAAAGGACCAAGGCCAAGCAUGGAAUAAGAGAAGGAAGAAGAAUAAUGGAGCAAGACAGGACUUGCCCGGAUCAUCCGGACCCCUAGCCGGACGAUCCGGACACCCGCUCGGACGAUCCGGACCCCCGCUCGGACGAUCCGGGUAA